AGGGAAUUUUCGGCAAUGGGGGAAACCCUGACCGAGCAACGCCGCGUGAAGGAAGAAGUAAUUCGUUAUGUAAACUUCUGUCAUAGAGGAAGAACGGUGGAUAUAGGGAAUGAUAUCCAAGUGACGGUACUCUAUAAGAAAGCCACGGCUAACUACGUGCCAGCAGCCGCGGUAAUACGUAGGUGGCGAGCGUUAUCCGGAAUUAUUGGGCGUAAAGAGGGAGCAGGCGGCACUAAGGGUCUGUGGUGAAAGAUCGAAGCUUAACUUCGGUAAGCCAUGGAAACCGUAGAGCUAGAGUGUGUGAGAGGAUCGUGGAAUUCCAUGUGUAGCGGUGAAAUGCGUAGAUAUAUGGAGGAACACCAGUGGCGAAGGCGACGAUCUGGCGCAUAACUGACGCUCAGUCCCGAAAGCGUGGGGAGCAAAUAGGAUUAGAUACCCUAGUAGUCCACGCCGUAAACGAUGAGUACUAAGUGUUGGGGGUCAAAGCUCAGUGCUGCAGUUAACGCAAUAAGUACUCCGCCUGAGUAGUACGUUCGCAAGAAUGAAACUCAAAGGAAUUGACGGGGGCCCGCACAAGCGGUGGAGCAUGUGGUUUAAUUCGAAGCAACGCGAAGAACCUUACCAGGUCUUGACAUCGAUCUAAAGGCUCCAGAGAUGGAGAGAUAGCUAUAGAGAAGACAGGUGGUGCAUGGUUGUCGUCAGCUCGUGUCGUGAGAUGUUGGGUUAAGUCCCGCAACGAGCGCAACCCCUGUUGCCAGUUGCCAGCAUUAAGUUGGGGACUCUGGCGAGACUGCCGGUGACAAGCCGGAGGAAGGCGGGGAUGACGUCAAAUCAUCAUGCCCCUUAUGACCUGGGCUACACACGUGCUACAAUGGACAGAGCAGAGGGAAGCGAAGCCGCGAGGUGGAGCGAAACCCAUAAAACUGUUCUCAGUUCGGACUGCAGUCUGCAACUCGACUGCACGAAGAUGGAAUCGCUAGUAAUCGCGAAUCAGCAUGUCGCGGUGAAUACGUUCUCG
Molecule: ribosomal RNA, 1018 nt
Filed under: uncultured bacterium
Lineage: Bacteria
Description: bacterial SSU rRNA
Rfam family: Bacterial small subunit ribosomal RNA
Source: RNAcentral